RNAcentral lists this long non-coding RNA (307 nucleotides) under Anas platyrhynchos platyrhynchos (common mallard). RNAcentral describes it as "lncRNA (ENSAPLG00000016965.1)". The record is from RNAcentral. Lineage: Eukaryota; Metazoa; Chordata; Aves; Anseriformes; Anatidae.
UUGUCCUUUUUCACAGUGCCACACACAACUACGACUGCAAUCAACCCUAUUAAAGAUGCAUCUAUCUGGAGACUACAGGUCCCACAAUGCAAUGAGGAAAGCUUCUCAAAUAGAGGUAACUUGCUGGGAUUUGUAGUCUCUGGGACAGUACCACCGUACAGAAGAAGAGGAUGUCAGGGAUUUUACUCCACUAGAGUGAAUUAAGAGCUUGUUUAGAGCUCCCAGCAAAUUGUUCUCAUUCAGACAAAGUUUGGGUGACCUCAGCCUGGAUCAUGGAAAUUGUUCCUCUGGUUUUCCAUUUCCCCCA